RNAcentral lists this long non-coding RNA (248 nucleotides) under Vigna radiata. RNAcentral's name for it is "long non-coding RNA (VRAD_LNC007455)". Lineage: Eukaryota; Viridiplantae; Streptophyta; Magnoliopsida; Fabales; Fabaceae. The record is from RNAcentral.
GGGAAUUUAGAGGUGAAUCUUUAGAGGUUGGAUCCGACAUAGUUAAUGGAUGAUGUUUUAUAACAGUAUAUAUCUUUUAUGAGAAAAAGGUGGAAAUAAUGUUAGUGCUCCCCAGCAUUUGGAAUUUGGUGAUGCAAUGUCUAAUUUAUAGAGUGAGAGAGGCAGCAUGAUGAUAAUGAGAAAGAAAGGAAGUGGGUUUUGGAUUGUCUUCUUCCUAAUCUCCUUCUCCACCAAUCACACACUGAUAC